AGGCAUGCCCUUCUAUUUCGUUCCAAAAGAGAGAAGUAAAAGCAUACAUGCUCUCUAUUUUUUCUUUCUUCAUCUCUGAACCUGCCGAACCAACUAAACCAUUUCUCACUUCAACUGUUAAGCACCAUAUCAUAUAAAGGCUUACUAAAACGUCUACAAAUUUCGGCAAAGAAGAAAGGUGAUGGGCUGAAUUUGGAGUAUAACUGGGAUUGCAGCAGUAAAGGAGGCCUAAGCUAAUCAAAUAAGCUAGCAAUUCGGUAAAAUUAAACUUUAAAGGUAAAUUCAAUAUUUUUGUUGUUGUAUUAGAAAUUUGAUGAUAAAAGUGCUAUAAUUAGAUGUGUUUUUGUGAAUAUGGGACUGCUAUUGUUUGAAUUAGAAUCAAGGAGUUUAGGUUGGUUGUGAGGAGUAGGCCUGACAAAAUAUUGUUAUGGAUUGAUUUUGGUUUUUAAAAUAUGGUUAUGGUUCCAUUUAAGAACUAAAAUUAUAUUAACCAUUUUUAAUAUGGGUUGUGUGGGUUGAAACUAUAUGGUUAUGGUUCAAAAUCAUAUUAACCAUUUUAAGAUGUUUUGACUUUUAAACAAAAUUUUUGAAAAAUGAAAUUGUGACCGUCACAAUUAAAUUAAUUAAGUAAUAAUAUGAUAUAAAAAUUAUUAAUAUAAAUAAUAAAAUGCUAAAAAAUUAUACUAAUAAAAUUUUAAAUUAAAAUUAUUAAUACCCUUUCAUAUUUAAAUAAUUUUUCAAAAUUAUUAUUAACCUGCUAAUAGAAAGAUUGGAAUCCAAAAUACACAUAAUUCUAUGAAUGUUGUUUAAAUAUUAAAACAUAUUUAUACUUCUUUUAUAACUAGAAUACUAAUUUCAUAAACUGACACAUACAGAACAACAUUAGUCAUCCAAAAGAAGAACAUAUUAAUUUAUAGAACAUACAAAAUAAGUAGAAAAUUGAAUAUAAUCAUAUAAUUCUAUAGACCAUAUUAAAAUUUAAUUAAUUAGACAGACAUUAAAAUUUAUCGUCAUGAUUCUUUUAUUUCAAUUUUUAUGGUGAAUGUGUAGAUUAAUGACAAAUUAAUAAAAAUUAUGAUCAUUCUUGACGGAAUAAUAUCAUGUUGUUUUAGUCAAUUAGCUUUGUAAAGUCAAAAAUAUAAUUUUAAUUGUAUAAUAGAUGAAGUAGUAUUUUAGUAAAUACUCUCUUUGUAAAUACGAUUAUUAUUAAUGUUUAGAAGUCAAUUUAAAUAUUUACAAACUUAAUACUAAUUUUUUUUUAUUUUACUUGAUACAAGGAUGAAUAUUAUAAACUAUUUAAAAAUAAUAUUAUUAAUUUUAAAUUUUAUUAUUUUUAAUAAAUUAUUUUAAUUUUAAAUUUAAAAAUAUCUCAAAAACAAUCUUUUAAAAAUCAAAUCAAUACUAAUCUUAUAGUUUGAAUUAUUCUUUCUUUCUUUUCACCUUUUUAAUGUUUUUCUCUCCGUAUAAAUUAUAAAUUAUAAUGGGGUUGGCAAUAAGCCAAUAAAGUUAGCUGAACUUCCUCUCCUCCUUUUUGAUUGUGUUUUAAUUUAAUUUGCUUCAUCCAUUAAUUUGUAUAUUUUAAUAUUAAAUUAGUAUCCGGCGAGGUGGCGCAUGGAUGAAUGUUCAGAACUAUGGGUUGAAAAAUGGAAUGGAAUAUGGGUUGAAAAUGGUUAACCGGUUCAGAACUAUAUUUCUUUUAAAAAGUAUGGGUCCAAACUUUAACCAACCUGAAUAAAUAAAGAUGGUUAACCGACCCAUUUGGUUCUAGUUAAUAUGGUUUGACCCAACAGUUAACUAACUAUAUUGCCAGGUCUAGUGAGGAGUAAUAAGGUGAGAAGAAGAAGACAAGAACACAAAUCAAACCUCUAGAAAUUUGAACUAUAAAGGAAUGCACAAAACUUGUUUGUCAAAAGUCCUCUAUGGACUAUUUUGGUUAAAAACCAAAUAUUAGACAGAACCAAGACUUAGACUAGAUGUAUAUACUUUAUAUGAUGACAAGUAAAGAGUUUGAGCAUAUUAAAUGAAAGCGAAAAGAAAUUUUUAAGCCAAAACAAAAAUUAAAAACUAGUGCGUCAAGCCAAUUUUGGAGUUUGUUUUUAGCAGCUUACUGAGUCUGAAAUGAGGGACUCAUAUUUUUUAAAAAUAGCCUGCUAUGGCAUCUAAAAUAUAUUAAAAUUUGGUAUGUGACGCCCCCAAAAUAGGUAUACAACACCCAUUCUAAGUCGCCAAAUACAUGGUACAAAAAUAACUACAACUUUAUUACUACAAUUGUCGUGCAAAAUACGACAACACAUAAACCGUGAGUUUAAAAACAAAUAUUGUCUUCUAGACAAUAUCCACACUCAAAUAAGUCAUCAUUACAAUUAUUGAUAUACUAUUUUACAAAAUAGUGAGGAGUACAAAAAUAACUUUCUAGAACCUUCAUUCCAUACCCCGACUAGUACUCGCUACAUUCUCGCCUCCUGAGAAGAAAAAUGGAACAAAAAGGAAAAGGGUGAGCUCAACUAGCCCAGUAAAGAAUAUUAUAACUAAGAUAAUAUAGAAUAAAUUAUCGUUAGUGCUCAACAGGGAAAAAUCUGAUAGAAUAUAAUAGACAACAAGUUUCAGAUCAAUAUUCGCAACGGAAAUAAUAAUUCAUUAGAAGAGUUACGUAGAGAAUGAAAUCUACUAUCUUCUAUGAUUUAAAAGUCCAUCAUCAAUAUUUUAUCCCUGUAACAUCCAUCAAUAUACAUCUUGAAUCAAAUAUUCAUCUUUGCAGUACAGGCCAAAGAUAUUCAUCAGUUGGUCAUGUUCAUCUCAACACCUGUACAUCUUUGCAUUACGGGCCAAAUAUAUUCAUAAGAAAAUCAUUCAUCUUUGCACUACAAGCCAAAGAUAUUCAGUAAUAUCAUUAUUUAGGACUGAGGAUGAUGAAAAAUAUUUUAAAGAAACGAAUCCAGUUAAACAAAAGGACAAAGAUUAGGAAUUCGUACUUUAAACAGUUCAAUUCAAAAAUACUUUAUAAAUAAUCAUAGUGGAGUAAAAUUCAAGAAUGAAAACCAAAACAUGGAUACAAUCAAAGCUAGUAUCCAUAAUAGAUAUCUUGGAUAAAAAAUGAAAAUUUAAUUUUUUUGUGAAUAGUACCGUAUUCGUGAAUAGUACCGUAUACGUGAAUAGUGUCGUAUACAUAAAUAGUAACCCCGACACUAAAAGACAAAAAUUUCACAAGAAAAAUCUUUUCAAUAUUCCGGCAUAAUGAUAUUGAAAGAAAUAAUAUCAUUUAUAAAAAAAAUAACAUCCUUACCUCGAAAAGACAAUACUUCUAACUGGAAUACUGGAUAUAGUGUUGAAGGGAACUUGCACCGUAUAGUAACACUCAAAGUAUUAAAAUACUCACAAGAAUACGCUCGAUAAUAUAGAGAGAAAAGAUUUCAGUUUCUGGUGUGAUUUUUAAUUCUAACCUAAGCACCCUAUUUAUAGGAAAAUGCUUAGAACAUCAAAGCAGAAAAUUUAAUAAAAUAAUAAUAUAAUUAAAAAAAUUCAAGCCCACCUUAGACCAACUGAAUUCAGCACAUUUAUAUCACAUGUGAGGCCCACUCAAUUGCAAAAAACGUUUUUCUUAAAAUAAUUAUUUAAAACUUCAAAAAUCAAUUAUUCCGGAACUUCAAUACCUCAUAAUAAAUAGCCAUUUUAUCAGAAAAAUUCGAAUCUUAUGUCCAUUCCAUAGGAAAUUCAAUUUUCUACAACUUUGUAAGUUUAAGAUUUCUAAAUUCCAAGCAGAAGUUGACUGAAAUUCACAAACGGACGAUUUUACAAGCUAUAAUCAAAUUUUAGUCAAAAAAUGGGGCCCACCAACACACAAAACAUGUGUUAAACAUUUUUUGUAACAAAAAUACUCUUCCUCGUCAUUUAUUCACAUAUCACACAUUCAUUGUAAAAAUAUCACCAUUAUUAUAUUAUUAUAAUAUAAUAAUAUAUUUAAAUGAAUUAUUUUAUCAGAAAAAGAUAAAAUAACUUUUUUCAACAAUUGUCACAUUAAAAAUUUUCUCCAUCUAUAUCCACAUAAAAUGAAUAUUUUCCUUAUCAUAUAAAUCAAUAAUUAAUUAUUCACAAAUAAUAUUACAGAAUCACAAUAUCGACAACCAGGCCGUUCCAAAGAAAGAGGGGGCUUUCCAAUAAGGAUUUCUCUUUACUGGCGCGCAAUUAGGUGAUCAAACCUCUCCUUAGACAGAAUUUUCUAGAUAUUGCCAAUAAUGCUAUCUAAUAAUAUUAUUCAAAUAAUGUGAAUUAUUGAUUUGGUAAUGAAAAAUACUGUGUAAUGACAAUUAUUGAAACAACAAUAAUAUAAAAUAUCAACGUGGCAAUUAUUAAAUCAAUAAAAUAUUGAACAGUAAUUACUGUAACAAUUAUUGAGUAGUGCCUUCUUUCGUAAGAAUCAAUAAUUGGUGCAAUACCGUGUGCUACUGUGUUUUAACCACCGGGUAUUCCAACAGUAUUAACGGUAACUACGACGUUAUUUAUAAACAACUUAUACUUGUCGUUUUCUUCAUCCAAUCGCUUUUUGUUAUGGGGCCCACACAAGGCUGCGUCGUCCUAUGAAUAUUCCCCGAUAGUAAGAAUAUUCCACUACCAAAUGAAUAUUCCCCGACAAUAAUGAAUAUUUUAUAACCACUUGCUUAUUUGAAAUAUUUACGCAUUUUACCCAUAACUAACCACAUUAAUCAAAUCAACCCUUACUAUUUCAAAAUAAUAAAUAGAGGAAAUUCAAUUUCAUUAAUAAUAAGUUGGGGUCUUAUAACCUCCCCUCAUUAUGAAAUUUCGUCCUCGAAAUUGACGUACGUACUUGGUGUUUCGAAAAGGUGAGGAUAGCUCACUUUUAUUUUCGUUUCCAAUUCUCAGAUCAUUUCCUCAAUAGCAUGGUUUCUCCACAAAACUUUGACUUGUGAUAUGACCUUUGUGCAUAGGACAUGCUCCUUCCUAUCCAAGAUCUUGACAGGUACCUCCUCGUACAUUAAAUCUUUGGCUAUUUCGUCUGGUUCUAACUCAAUAACGUGGUUCGGGUCUUUCACAUAUUUUCGAAGCACCGAUAUGUGAAAAAUAUUAUGAACACGAGACAUACUUGGAGGUAACGCGAGUCUAUAGGCCACAUUUUCUACUCGGUCAAGAAUCUGAAAUGGACCGAUAAAUUGUGGAUUGAGAUUUUCUCUUUUCCCAAAUCUUGUAACUCCCUUCCAUGGAGCAACACGCAACAAUACAUAAUCCCCAAUACUAAAUUCCACGUCCUUUCGAUGAAGAUCCACAUAACUCUUUUGUCGAUCCUUUGCCGUUUGCAUACGUUAUCGAAUCAUUUAGAUCUUUUCUGUAGUCAUACGUACCAACUCUGGUCCCAACAAUGUUGCUUCACUCACCUCAUCCCAACAUACUGGAGAGCGACACUUUCGUCUAUACUAUGCGUCGAAUGGAGCCACACCUAUACUUGCUUGAUAACUGUUGUUGUAGAAAAAUUCCACCAAUGGUAAAUACUUAUCCCAACUCCCUUUGAAGUCUAGGACACAGAGUCUUAAUGUGAGACCUCAAAUUUUAUGAAUAAAGAUUUAAAUUUCUCGAAAUAUUUUUUUGAAUAUUAUGGAAUAAAUUUGAUAUAAUGUUAUAGUUGUGGGUAAUAUUUAUAAAUUUUGCAAAGUACGCAAGUUGUUAUAUAAUAUUCGAUUGGUCGGGGAAUAUUCGUUUUAACAGGGAAUAUUCGUACGACGACACAAUCAUUGGUGGACCCCACAACAAAAUUAUUGUCGGAUUGAGAAAAUGACAAAAAUAUUUUAUGAAAAUAACGGCGGAAGUUUUACCGUUAACUGUUGAAACGCUCGGUGUUAAAAGUAUAGUAAUAUGCGUGGUUGCAUAGUAGCACACGGUAUUGAUUAUUGAUGCUUAUGUGAGAAGUCACUCAGUGUUGUUCAAUUAUUGCUACAGUAAUUGUUGCAUAGUAUCUCACGUUAUUUGAUUCAAUUAUUGUCGAUAUUUUAUAUAUUAUUAAAUCAAUAAUUGAGAUGACAGAGUUAUUAAUAUUAUUAUUUGCAAUAUUAACGAUGUCUAGAAGUUCUGCCAAUGAGAGAUUCGGUCACCUAAUUGUACGUCAAUAGGGAGAAAUCCUUAUUGGAAAGCCCCCUCUUUCCUGGGAACGACCUGGUCGAUUAAUAUUGUGAAUUAUAAUAAUGAUGAUAAAUAUUGUUAUAUAUAUUGAGGUGUCUUUUUAUGAAGUCACUGAAGUUUAUAUAUAUAAAUAUAUAUAUUAUAUAUAUAAAUUUUUUUUAUUAGUAUUAUUAAUGUAAUAAAAUAAAAAAGUUUUUUAUAUAAAACAGAAUACUUUUAUAAAGUUAUUUAUUUUAUUAGACUAUAAAUAGAAUAUAUUAUAUUCUAUUAUGCAUAGUGUUUUGCAUAGUAAAAUCUUUUUAUAUAAAACAGAAUACUUUUAUAAAGUUAUUUGUUUUAUUAGACUAUAAAUAGAAUAUAUUAUAUUUUAUUAUGCAUAGUGUUGCAUAGUGCCUGCAUAGUUUUUUGCAUAGUAAAAUCUUUUUAUAUAAAACAGAAUACUUUUAUAAAGUUAUUCGUUUUAUUAGAUUAUAAAUAGAAUAUAUUAUAUUUUAUUUAAAAGAUUUUGUUUUAUUAGAAUAUUUUAUUAAUACUGCAUAGUAAAUUAAUAUGGACCGUCCGUUUAAAAGUAAAUCAAUCUGGACCGUUCAUGAAUUAGUUACUAUUCAGUCCAUUCUCCUAUAAAUAGAAGCUCAUUCCUUCAUUAUUUCUUACGAAUUCACUGAAACUCUAGAGAGAGAAACUAUAGAGAGAAAGAAGAAAAGUAUUCUGCCACUUCACUACUCCUAUAUCCAGUUUCUUCUAAGGUAAGGGAUAUCAUUAUUGUAGUAAGGGAUAUUAUUUUUUGUACUCGUAAGGGGUAUUAUUUCUUUCGUAUUCAUGAAGAGAACUUCUGUUAUUCCAUUCUUUAUUAUUCUGUUGGAAUAACUUGUAUACGCGGGCUACCCUAUACUUGGUGAAAUUCUUCUGUUAUUCCAUUCUUUAUCAUUAUGUUAGAAUAACCUGUCUAUGCGAAGUACCGCAUACAUGGUGAAAUUCUUCUGUUAUUCCAUUCUUUAUUAUUCUGUUGGAACAUCCUACCUGUACGUUUACGCAUGACCUGGUUCCGUUAUUUAUUAUUCUGUUGGAAUAUCCUGUCGGUGCGUAUUACGCCUGACCUGGUUCCAUUAAUUAUUAUUCUGUUGGAAUAACCUGUCUGUGUAGUCUAUCACAUACAUGGUGAUUUUUGUUGUUAUUCCAUUCUUUAUUAUUCUGUUGGAACAUCAUGUCUAUGCGUUUACGCAUGACCUGGUUCCGUUAUUUAUUAUUCUGUUGGAAUAACCUGUUUAUGCGGUCUAUCGCAUGCCUGGUGAUUUCUUUUGUUAUUCCAUUCUUUAUUAUACUCAGUUGGUUAAAGUUUUGACUUCUAUACUCCAUGAAAUUAGUGGAAUAUCCUUGAUAUUUGCGCUUUAUCCUGUAUCUUUUUAUGUAAAUAUUCUUCUGAGCAUUCUUGAAUUUUACUCCACAAAGCAGUAUCAUGUUGACAAUUUGGACAUUAUUGAGUUCAGAAUAAAUUAACUUAUUAAUCUUUAAAAUUUAUUCUUGAACUUGUUGUAUUGAAUUAUUAUGUCAUUGUCAUCAUCCUCAUGCUUAUAUUGUGAUGAAAGUCAUCUUUGGCUUACGUGCAUAGAUGGACUUGGUAUGACUAUGACCAGGGAUUAUUCGGUAUAAUCAUGACCUGUAAUGUUAUAAAUGAUGUGGUAAAAGUCCUCAGUGGCCUGUAGUGUAUUGACGGAUAGUUUUUGGUAUGAUUAUGACCAGGGAUUAUUCGGUAUAGUCAUGACCAUUGAUAAUUUAAUGAAUAUCCUUGGCCCGUAAAGCAGGGAUGACUCGAUGAUGUGGUUUAUUUAUUAAGCUGAGUCUCAGCGAUAAAAAUUAAUGAAAACAUUUUAAAUCAUAGAAGAUAGUAGAUAUCAUGCUCUACUUGACUCUUCUAAUGGAUUGCUUAUUCCGUUGCAGUUAAACUUGAUGUCUAUUAUAUUUUAUCAGUUUAACAUUGUUGAAGACUAAUGAUAAUUUAUUCUGCAUUAUCUUAGUCAUAAUAUUUCUUACUAAGCUAGGUGAGCUCACCCCUUUCUUUCACCGUUCUCUUCAGGAAAUGAGAACGUAGCCGGGACUAGUCGGGGAACAGAGUGAUGGUCCAGAUGAUAGUAUUAGUAGUCCUCAAUAUUUUGUUAAAUAGUGUGACAAUAAAUGUAUUGAGGACUCCUUUGGGUGUGGAUAUUGUCUAGAUGACAAUAUUCCUAUUAAAACUCUCAAUUUAUGUUUUAUCGUAUUUUACACGACUGUUGUAUAAUUAGUUUGUAUUUGUAUUCAGUACCUUGUACUGUGACGACUCAGAAUAGGUUUCAUUCAAAAAGGGGUUUCUACCAGGGGCAGUUUUGUAAUUUUUCUGACCCUAAAAAAUUCUGAAAAAAAUAUGAAAUGAUAAUUUGAUGAGUUUUCUAGAUUGUGUUCAAAAAUGGCGAUUUUUGGAUGUAUAGAUUAGGAGUUAUGAAUUUUAUAAGAAAAAACUAUUUUAAAAGUAAACCCUUAUAACUCCUUGUGGUUAGCUCCAAAAUUGGUGAAAUUAUUAUUGGGAGUACAUGUAUAUAAUAGGAGUAUAUCUUGUAAAUUUCAGAAUUUUUGGACAAAAGUACAAUUUAUGAUAAAUGUUUAAAUAUUCGGCAGUUUUAGCCAUAUGAAAAAUAGUAAAUGAAUUUUAAAAAUUCUGAGAAAAAUAUAUGUUCAAUAUGAGACUAUAUUCUGCUAAAUCCCAAAAAAGAAAUAUUUUUGGAACUGAUUUGGUAUUUUUCAUGAAAAUGAACUAAAUAUGAGUAAAUGAAUUAAAUAUGUUAUGUGAAGUAAUAAAAUUAGAAAAUAGGAUUUUAUGGCUUGGGAAUCCUAUAUAGGGUAUAUGCAGAUUUUUUAUGAGGGAUUUGAUCAUUGAUGAUGAAAUCUUAUGAGUAUGGCAUUUUUGAAUGAUUAAAUGUAUUAUUUGAUAAAGUGUAAACAAUUGAAAUAAAUUGUUUAUAAGUUUAAGAAGUGAUUAAAAUGUUAUUAUAAUCACUACAAGAAAAAGGCCUAACAGCGACCAAUAAUAUCAGCGACCGCAUUUUCGGUCGCUGAUAGUAUUAAUAGCGACCGACAUCUGCGUCGGUCACUGAGAUGAAUUUCCCUCCCAAAAAUUGAUGCGAAAAGUUGGCGCGUUUGUUUUUUGUGACAAUUAUAUAUCAGUGACCGCAAUGCGGUCGCUGAAUCGUCCACGUCAUUAAAAAUCAGCGACCGCAUUCGGUCGCUGCUCGCGGUCACUGAUCAUCUAAAACUUAUUCAGACUCAGGCCUUCGUUCCUUCAGUAGAUGAGAGAAGAAAACGAGGGAGACAGAAUAGGGAGACGAGGGAGAAGGGGAAGAAGAGAAGAGGGAGGGAGAAAUUGACCGCCGCUACUCGCCUCCACUGCCAUCGCCGCCGCCACAGGUAACCCUAAUUUUCUUUAUUUCUGAAUUGGAUAUAGAUUGGGUGUUAUUCUAUUGAUAGAACUUUUUCCCCAUUGAAUUAUUCUUCGAGUUUGGGUAUUCUACCUUAAUGGUAGUAUGUAAUUUAUUUCAUAUACAUGCCACAUUGACAUAAUUGCUAACUAAUGCCAUUAUGCCCCCAUUACAAAAGCUGCUACGAAAAUUGGGGCAAAAUAUUUGUAACAAAUGCUGGUGAGAUUUUAUUAGAUUCUUCUAGUUUUGUGAUUUUAUUGCGGAGAGAUGUAAGGAAGCUGUUAGGUUUGUAAUCGAUGCAUGGGUAAAUGGUUUCUUCUGAUUUGGUAUGUAGACUGUAGUGGUAUGCCAUGGAUGUUAUACCCUGUAAUAUUAAAUACAAUUCCAACUCCUAGAUUUUAGUUGAUUCCGCAUUACUGAAUUUUUGUAAAAUUUUGAUGUCCAUCUCGUGUAUGUACUCGAAACCAUAAUAAUUUGGAUAAUAUUAAUGUGGUGGGAUUGAUUUGUUAUGCUUGGUUGUUAAUCUUGGCACAGACAGUAGUCUGAAAUAUUUGCAGAAAUUAUGGCUCGUGCUGAAGAGAAGCAAGAACCAUACUUGGUAUUUGAGAAAUGAUUUUUUUGAUACAUUUCGUAAGUGUAUGAGUGUGGUUUGAUUCUUAGGUGUGUGAGUGUGGUGCGUGAGAAAAUUAAAAGAAAAAAUAUAUAAUAAUUUGCACAAAAUUAUAUUAAGCAAAGUUAAGUAUUCCCUCUGUCUUAAAACGACACAUAUUAAGAGACUAAUAGAGGAUAAUACAAGGAUCAAAUGUGAUAUGCUAGGGGUAAAAUGGAGAACUUCCGUAUAUCGCGCUACUAAUCAUGUUCGGCAAUCCUAGCGCAUUUUAGAAAAAAAAACUCACUUGAUAAUCAACACAGACAAAAUAGAACUAUAAAUCUCACGAUUUAUCAUGGAAAAAGUAUCCGUACGGUUACUAAUAGUUUGAGAUCAGUAAACUCAAAAAGUCCACUCAGCUAGCAAUUAUAAAUGCAUAGGGCAAAUAUACCAACCAAAACCAUGUUCAUGUACUUGAGUACCAUGUCAAGUCUACACUAUAGAAUUGUAGAGGACUGCCAAGAAAUUCAAUUAUAAUGCAUGCCCCCAACAGUACACUUGUCAACAAAUACACUUAAGACAUGCUAAUUUCUGCCAUUUUGUACAAAUGGUGGAUUGAUCCAUUUAUAUUGGGAAUUUGUAUAUUUCUCUUGGUUUGUGUCUUGGGUGCCUAGAAAUGACCAUAUAUACAUGUCGUCGUGCAUGUGGCUAGUCCAUAUUAUAGGAGAGACUCUGGCAAAAAAAUUUUGUUGGUCGAGUAGUUGCGAACAUUUAUAAUAUUAACGAGCUCAAGUCAUAUGCUUACUAGCUAGUAUGCUUAAGUCAUAUGCUUACAAGUAUGCUCAAUAUGCUUAAAAGUAUGCUUAAAUGUUAAUCAUAUGCUCACAAGUAUGCUCAAGUUAUAUGCUUACAAGUAUGCUCAAGUCAUAUGGUUACAAGUAUAUAUGCUCAAGUUAUAUACUUAUAAGUAUGCUUAAAUGUUAAUCAUAUGCAUGCUUACAAGUAUGCUCAAGUCAUAUGGUUACAAGUAUACUCAAGUCAUAUGCUUACAAUCAUGCUAUACAUUAAUUAAUAAGCUCAUGUUGUCUGUAGUAGGUACCGUGGAAUUAUGGACCUCUCUUCAAACCGUAGUUGGAUGGCACGACGAAAGUCAAGUGCCUAGAUAGGUGCUAUAGCUGAAUUUAGAGCUGGUUGCCAAGUGUUUUUAGAGUAUGCGUAUAGUCACCCGGAAUGUAUGAAUGGUAAGUCGCAGAUACGAUGUCCAUGUUUGAAGUGUAAGAAUGUAAAUUAUAUGGACAGAGACAUGGUAAACUAUCAUUUACUUGUUUCUAGAUUCAUAAAAAAUUACGAAGAAUGCUGGUGGGCACAUGGGCAGAGAAGAGAUGGUGGCAUCACAGAAGUACACAAUUUGGGCAAUAGUACUCAUCGUAUGAAUGAAAUGGUUCAUAAUAUUGCAGGGCCAGAUUUUGAUUGGGAACAAGGCAGAGAGCAACCUAUGAAUUCUGAUGCCAAAGACUUCUUUAAGUUGUUAGACGAGGGUAGCGAGCCAUUGUGGCAUGGUUGCACCAAACACACUACAUUAUCUGCAGUGGCGACAUUACUUAACAUCAAAGCUGAUCACAACAUGAGCCAUAAGUGUUUUGAGUCGCUCUUGAAGGCUAUUAAGAGUAUGUUGCCUGACGGUGAGAAAUUACCUGGUAACUAUUACUUUUGUAAGAAAAUGGUGAAGAAGUUAGGUCUUGGAUACCAAAAGAUCAAUGCAUAUCCUAACAAUUGCAUGUUGUUUUAUAAGGAAAAUGAACAGAUGACAAGGUGCAUGUUUUGCAGUCAUGAUCGGUUUAGGCCUAAUAAAGAGGGUGUGACUACAAAAAAAUCAAGUAUACCGUUUAAGAUUCUAAGGUAUUUUCCAAUAACACAUCGGUUAAAAAGAUUGUACAUGUCUUCAAGCACAGCUGAACAUAUGAGUUGGCAUGCGAAAUCCCUAGCUAAAGAUGGAGAACUAAAUCAUCCCGCAGAUGGGCUGGCUUGGAAAGAUUUCAACUUAGCACAUCCUGGGUUUGCAUUGGAACUUAGAAAUGUGAGGCUUGGAUUGUCCACCGAUGGUUUCAAUCCGUUUGGCCACUCAGCAGUUCCGUACUCAUGUUGGCCUGUGAUUGUUACUACGUACAACUUGCCUCCUUGGAUGUGUAUGAAACAGCCAUACUUGUUUCUUUCACUCGUGGUUCCUGGUCCUAAGAGUCCUAAAAAGAACUUAGAUGUUUACUUGAGAUCUCUUAUAGGCGAGUUGAAGGUAUUGUGGGAGGAUGGAGUACAGACUUGGGAUGUUGCAACGAAAACAAAUUUCAACCUUAGGGCAGCAGUUAUGUGGACUAUAAGUGACUUCCCAGCUUAUGGUAUGUUAGCUGGAUGGAGUACACAAGGGAAGUUGGCUUGUCCGUAUUGUAUGGAGCAUACAAAGUCGUUUAAUCUAUCAAAAGGUCGAAAGCCUUAUUGGUUUGACUGUCAUCGUCGGUUCUUACCGGUAGAUUACCCGUUUCGAAGAAAUAGAGAACACUUCAGGAAAGGGAAAGUAGACAAUGAUAUGUCUGCACCGCGAUUGUCGAGAAUGGAGAUGCGAGAUCGUGUGAUGAGAUUGCCGGUUAUCCCAUUUGGUAAGAUUGAUGUCACAAACAUAAUCAAUGGGUUUGGCGAAUCUCAUAACUGGGUUUGGAGAAGCAUCUUUUGGGAACAGCCUUAUUGGUCUACAAAUUUGAUUCGUUAUAAUCUAGAUGUGAUGCAUAUUGAGAAGAAUGUGUUUGACAAUGUGUUUAACACUGUGAUGAAUGUUACGGGGAAGACAAAAGAUAACGAUAUGGCACGUUUGGACAUGAAAGAUAUUUGUAAGCGUCCUGGAUUAGAACUUUAUAAAUCUCCUAAUGGUAAGAUUGUCAAACCGCAUGCAAGGUACACAUUGUCCAAAAAGCAAGUUGAAGAUGUGUGCACAUGGGUUAAGUCUCUGAAACUACCAUAUGGAUAUGCGUCAAACAUUACAAGGUGUGUUACAGGUGGGAAAUUGCAAGGGAUGAAGAGUUAUUGUGAUAACCCGAUAUUUUCUAUAAAAAUAAAUCAUAAAUUUUGCGUAUAAAUUUUUUUUUUUAAAUAAAUAUGGGUGAUAUGUGCCAAGGUAAUAUGUAUAUGUUUAUAUGUGUGAUAAAUAAAAUUUAUUUAUUACAUUAAUUAUUACAGAUAAUUUUAUUUUAGAAAUAUUGAUUAUUAAAAAUUAUAUUCUUAUAAUAAUUAAUUUAUAUUAGAAAUGUUUUAUUAAUUAUUUUUUCAUGAAAAUAUAGGUAUAUAUUAAUUAAAUAAUAUAUGAAAUGAUUUUUAGAAUAAUUAUAAUAAAUAUUUUAUUACAUGAAUUUUGUUCAGGAUAUUAAGUUAAUUAUUUUAACUUAAUUAAUAUGGUUAAUUACGACAGAUAAAUCAUAUAUGGAAUCCAAAUCAUAAUUCUGGGUUUUGAUCAAUGUAUGAGAAUAAUAUUAUAAUAUUAAAUAUAUUUUAAUUUUUCAGUGCUAUAAAUAUGUACUGUAUAUGUGUGAACUGUUGAUGGUUGGUCAAUUAUGGUGUAUAUUGACCAAACCCUUGUAUUACUGUUAAACCCUAAUUCUGAAGUCAAAUGAAACUGGAAGUCUGUCAGGACACUGUAAUAUGUGUUAUACGAUUGGUAUUUUUGGUCGAGCCUUAUUUUUUAUGGAAAACCAUAACUGUGAAUAAAAACCCUAAUUUUAGAAAUUAGAAACCCUAAUUGGAAACCUAAACCGGAGAUUUUGAUCAGUCAGAAAUUGUGUUACUGUGAUUAAUAACACGGAUGAUAGACUUUAAUUACUAAUUAAGGUAAACCUAAUUAGUAAAUUAAAACCCUAAUGAUUAGAACCCUAAUUUGAUAUUUAUAAAAUCCUAAUUAUUAUUUUAUAACCAUAAUUAUCAAAAUUGUACACCCUAAUUGCUAUUUUAGCAAGGUUAAUUAUGAUUAGUGGUACUAAACCCUAAUAUUCAUGUAUAAUAUAAUUACUAACUUAAUCUAAUUAACAAAUUCUAAUUUUCAAAUUUUAGAAACUAAAAUAAUUUUAUUUCUUUACAAACCCUAGUUGCUAAAUCUCACUUAUGCUAUAUGUUAAACCUUAGGGUUAAACCCUAAGGGUUUGGCAAGUUACAAUAAUACAAUUAAAAUGAUUUACUAAUGGACCAUUUUGCCCCUAGUUACAUUAUUUUGGAAAGAAUAGGUUUUGACAUUAGAUGGGAGUGGGUUACCUAAUAUAACUACUCCAUUGACUUAAUUUUUCCAGCACAUGGGCUCUAAAUCAGCUAAUACAUGCAUUGUAACACAAUAUAUAUAGAUUGAAAGAGAGAGAAAGUUCACUUUUAAACCAUUUGGACACCCACUCUCUAACAAGUCUCUCUCUCUCUCUCUAAGCAACAAAUUCCCUUAGUAUUUCAGUCACAUAUACAAGCCCCACGAAAUCCCAUAACCAAAUCAGAAGCUAGAAAUCAGAAAUUAAGCAUAGAAGGUAUAAAACUCUACCUCAAAAAUUUGUCCAUUUUUCUGUUGUUAGAUGUUAGUUUUAUGUGUUAAAUAUGUUGUUUAUGAUGUAUAAUGAUGAUCUGGGUUGCUAGAUGUUAGAUCCAUAACAUCUAGAGGCUCAGAUUUGAUGUUCUUCAAAAUCUGGAAAAAGUUGGUCUUGUGGUCUGACAACAAAUGUCAGAGGCCACAGAUCCUUAUCGUCUAUGAUUUUUGUUGUUUUUAAGUUGAUAUGUGUAGGUUAUAAUGAGAUCGUUAAUCUAAAAAAGGAAUUAAAGUCAUUGGGUUUACAGAUUGCUAGUUAUUAACGGUCAAAGGUCGUUGACCGACCAUGACCAAGCCAUUUCUGGGCAGCCCAGAAAUUUAUAAACAAGCGUCUGACAAGUUUUGUUGGCCUUUGAUCUUUCUGUUUGUUAUUGUUUUGUUGUUUUUGUUGCAUCUAGAUUGUAGUCUAGUAUAUGAACUCCAUGUUUAUGCCUUAAAAUAUCCUAAACAUUAAACUGGAUGAAAGUAGUAACCGGUCAAAGUAGAUAAGUUGUUCACGUUUAUGGUUUUCUGGAAAACCCAGAAAAUUUAUGAACACUGGUUCUGACACGCUUUGACCGGCUUGUAUUGGCUUGAUUAUUUGUUGUUAUGGUUGUGUUUUGUAAUAGAUCGGUAGUAUUACAUGUGGGCUACAAUCUGCAAGUCAUAGAUCAUUAAAUCAUUAAACGAUUCGAUUGUAGUGGAGGCUCAAAAUAGGACCCUUGUUACUGAUCGAGUUUCUGGGCAACCCAGAAACUCAAAGAUCGUGUCUGACAUCAACUUCUGUAGAUUAUAUCUUGCUAUUAUGUGAUGAUUUGGCCAUGAAACCUGUUUAUAGAUGUAGUACUACAUGAGUACUACAAUAUUAGCUAAAUUUGUAGUCCAGAAACACUUUCUGUGAUGUUUAAUUCGUGGUCAAAUAUGCUUACUCGGUAACAAGCUUGAUUUUCUGGGUUUGCAUGAAGAACACGAACACCUAUAGCGACGGUUCUGUCGCUAUAGGUGGUCUUUAGCGACAAUUUUGAAUAAAAAUUAUAUUUUUCUUAAAUAAUUAGUAUUAAUUAGUUUUUAAUUCUGAAAAAUACAAAAUAAAUUAUUAAAAAUUAUUUAAAAGUCCGAAAAUUAUAUUUUAAUUAUUUUAAUUAUAUUUCAUAAAUAUUUAAUAUUUUUAGAAUAUUAAAAGUAUUUAAUUUAUUUAAUUAUAAUAUUAAAUAAAUUAUUUAAAAAUGAUUUUAAUAAUUGAAAAAUUAUUUAAAAUUAUAUUAUGAUAUAAGAAAAUAUUUUAAGUUAUUUUUAAUGACUUUUAAUAUUAUGUGAUAAUUUUCAUUAAAAAAUUAAUAUUAAUGAUAAUUAAGUUAUGUAAUAAAUGAAUUAAAUAAAUAAAUUAAAAAUGAUUUUAUUAUAUUAAAAAUCAUUUUAAAUAAUAAUAAGGUAUUAAAAGAUAUUUUAAGUUAUAAAAUAUAACUUUUAAUAUUUAAAGGUAAAAUUCAUUAAUUAAUGAUUAUUAAUGAUAUUAGAGUUAUUUAAUAUUUAUAUUAGUUUAAAAAUGAUUUUAAUAUUAUAAAAAUUAUUUUAAAUGAAAAUAAAGUGUUUAAAGAUAUUUUAAGUUAUAAAAUAUAACUUUUAAUAUUUAAAGGAUAAUUUUAUUAAUAAUUUAAUAUUAAUGAUAUUUAAUAAUUAUGUUAAAUAAAUAGUUUAAAAAUGGUUUUAUUAAUCAUUUAAAAAGGGAUAUAAAUGAAUUAAAAAUAUUUUGAGAUAUGAUAAUAACUUUAAUAUUUUGGCAAUGGUUUCAUUAAUAGUUUAAUAUUAAUUGAAUAUUAAUGAUAAUAGAAUUAUUUAAUUUUUAAAUCAUUUAAUAAUGAUUCUGAUAUUUCAAAAAUUAUGAUAAAUGGUAAUAAUUAUUUAAAAAUUAUUAUAAGUCAUUUAAAAAUAAUAUGACUGAUAUUUACAGAUGUUAAACUUCGGGAUAGAGUCUUAGACUCGAUAAUUACCCGAUAAAGCCGUCGGUAGACCGACAUGUUUCAGAAAUUAAUCUAGACUUAGAUAAUUUGAUUAGUUAUGUGUUUAUUUGUUAUCCAAUGACUGUUGGACCUAUGUGACAAUGUGAUUAGGUAAUGUGCUAACUGCAAUAGGCAGUGUUAUGUGUUACGAUAUAUAAUACUAAUCAGUAAAAUGAUCUUAUUACUGAUAGGUGGUUUCAUAAAAGAUAAAACUAAGUUGAGAAUUGUAAGUAGCGUAUCAGGCAAGUAUCCUACCUUUGCAUUUUUUUUAUGCAAUGGACAUGUGUAAGAAUGUUUCAGAAUUGUAUUAUUACUAUACAGGUUAUUAACCCUAUAUUAUAUACGCCCAUUGAUUAUCAACAUGUUAGUAUAUGAUAAUUCAGAUAUAUAUUCUGUUCGUUAAUUUCUAUAAAUGGUUAUACAAGUGUCCCCACUUGGAUAAUCAUUAUAUUUAAUCACAUGUUGAUACACCUUUGUUAAUUACCCGUAUAUAUAUAUAUAUAUAUAUAUAUAUGUUGAAUUAUAUAUUAUUGUUGAAUAAGAUAAAACCUUUGGUUUGGAACCCCGACAGGUAUGAACAUCCCGUACAUGGGAAAAAGCUUUUAUGCGCCCAAGGUGGACAUAGUGAACGAUAAUAUCGUUCUUGAAAUGUAGUAUUGAUCAAUACAAGGCACAACAGGCUGAUCACCCCCGUGUCCGUAAGUUAUGACGGUUUGCAGAUGAAUUUCUGUUUAACCCUUUCGAAAAUGAAAAUAAUGUUCAUAGUAUGUCACAUAAACCCCAUAUAUAGUCAAUAUGCAGUUUCAAAUAUUUGAAAGAGGGUUGUUAUGUUAUUAAUAUCCUUGGUACAGAUUAUUUCACAACUAUUGACUUGUUGUAGAAGGAUAGUAUAAAGAAAACAUUUAAAUUCUUUUAGCUUAUAUAUAUAUAAUUGCAAAUACUUGCUGGGCACUCAAAUGCUCAUCCUUGCUUAAUUUAAAUAUUUUCAGCUACGUGCGAACAACCUGAAGGAUCCACUAAGAACAAGGG
RNAcentral lists this long non-coding RNA (17769 nucleotides) under Panax ginseng (ginseng). RNAcentral's name for it is "long non-coding RNA (PGIN_LNC000757)". Lineage: Eukaryota; Viridiplantae; Streptophyta; Magnoliopsida; Apiales; Araliaceae. The record is from RNAcentral.